RNAcentral lists this long non-coding RNA (2059 nucleotides) under Elaeis guineensis (African oil palm). RNAcentral describes it as "long non-coding RNA (EGUI_LNC027570)". The record is from RNAcentral. Lineage: Eukaryota; Viridiplantae; Streptophyta; Magnoliopsida; Arecales; Arecaceae.
GAUUCGACCUUUCGAUGCAAAGCCUUAUGGAUCUUCACCUUGCACACACGGUUUAAGGUGUCGAUGAAAAAAUGGGGUACCUACAGAAAAGGUAUGAUCAGUAGAAAGGCGAGCGAAGAAGCCUAAGAAUAAAGCUAGAGAUAAGGAUGGCACCUGAUACACGACGGUCAUGGAGUAUCGCUAUAGGUCGUCGAAGCCCAUAUCAGUGAUGCCCUUUAGCUCAUGGGAAGAACCGAUCUCUCAGUUAGCUUUUUAAUAACUCUCCAGUCAUCAAAGGUUGCAUCCUCCGGAAUGGAGUCAAUGCGGGCAUCAGGAUCCAUUUUGCUCGAAGGAGGAGGCAUGCUGCUUCGACCUGCAGCAGUAGAAAGUUAAGCAGAAGAACACUGAGUUCUAGUCUCACAAGGAGGCGUCGAAGCAGCAGGCAAGAAAACCGCGAGUAGUGGAGGCACCGGUGCUAGAGCGACCACAAAAAUUGGAGUCAAAGCCAAUAUAGUCAGACUUAGAGGAGUGGGAGUUGCUAAGACAACUGUGGCCUUGGCUGCUGAGCCACGCUCAUCCGUAGCCUUUUCUCGAUGGAUCACCGGCUUCUUGGAGGCACCUUCGAGCAUGAGAGCCUUUCUCUUCUUUGAAAGGUUUCACUUCAUUUUGGUGAUGUCCUCAGACCUCAUCUCUACAAGCAGUUGAACUAGAUCAGCAAUCUUAAAGAAAAAGAUAAAUAAGGUGGACACCUAUAGUACUCUACUAUCCCAACAGUACUAGCUAUAUAAUCAUAGCUCGAUGAGAAUUUUCUAUAAUUGUAGAUAUGACAUUUGCGCACGAGACAUAGAGGAUUGCUUUCUUUGGUAUUCAAUUGACUGGGCAAAUCCUUCUCAAUUAGAUAGAAUGAAUAAAGAUGCACAUUAGCCCAAUCGAAUUCUAAUCUGAAGUUGAAGUGAAUAAAAAAAUUUGAUGAUGCAUGGUCGACCAACCCUAAAUGGAAUGCAGCACUUCUUAAUGGCGAUGAUGAUUAGCAAAGAUCCCUAUGUUUGGAGUACACCAUAAUGUAGCAGCUGAAUAUUCUUGGAAAAGAUCACCCCUAGGAUCGGUCUAGCUGAGCCCAAUAUUAAGGAAGGCCUCGUCGAACACCAACUCAUCAACUGAGAGAGCCUUGAAGGGUUCUAAAGCGACCCUCUUCUUCAGCCCCUAGCUUUGAGACCUUGAAUGUUGAAGUCUCUGGCCGACCCCAGCCCGACAAAUCCUAGUCCUUCACUAUAGAGCUAGACACAAAUAUGAAUUGCUCCUUCUACCCAUGAACAGUAGAAGGAGUACCCUUGAUCAGAGGAGAAAUCCUUUUCUGAAAAGAAAAAUACCACCAAUUCUUCAAGUAAGGAUGCCUCUUGAUGGUGAAAAAAGAGCAGAAGAGAUCAACAGAUAGUUGGACACUAGCCAUAACACAAAGGAUCAAAAAAUCUAUCACGAACCUAAAGGAGUUCGGAACAAUGGCACAAAAGGACAAACCAUAAAAAUGGAAGAUGUCAAGGAUGAAGGGAUGAAUGGAAAACCUUAAGCCCGUCUAUAAUACUUCCUCAUCUAUGGCAAGCUGAUUGGAGGGUAGGCUAUCUAUGUGUUCGCUUACUCUGGAGAGUUCAAGAUCAAAAUAGGAAGGGAUCCAUACCAAAUCCGUAUCCGAAUCAAAUCAUUCGAAUUCAACAUAAAGCUAUAACCACUAUGACCUAGUUCACUCUACUCGACCAUUCUCAAAUAAAAGAACUAAAAAGAUAUCUAAAAAAGGAAGGGAAGAAUAGAAAAAUAGAUGGGUGAGAAAGAAAACCCAUAUGAGAAUGAAGGAAGGAGAUAGAAAAAUGAAAUAGUCAUCAGGACCUUCAAAAACCCCUCUGAAGAGUGCACUAUGGAGGAAGAAGGAAGGCCCCUUAUUCCAAGAAGCUAUGGUAAUGGAUAAGAAAAAGGAGUCGAAGAGCCUAGCAGCAAUUGAAAAAGCCAGGGAUAGGCACCUCUCUUAUUUAGAGCCAUGAGAAGAUAAUGUCUAGAUAUCGAAUCAUUCUUUUCUCAACAAGUCACA